Molecule: ribosomal RNA, 463 nt
Filed under: Phelsuma klemmeri
Lineage: Eukaryota; Metazoa; Chordata; Lepidosauria; Squamata; Gekkonidae
Description: partial large subunit ribosomal RNA
Rfam family: Bacterial large subunit ribosomal RNA
Source: RNAcentral
GGUAGCAUAAUCACUUGUCCCUUAAAUAGAGACUUGUAUGAACGGUCAAAUGAGGGCUUAUCUGUCUCCUGCAGCCAAUCAAUGAAAUUGACCUCACAGUACAAAUGCUGUGAUACAUAUAUAAGACGAGAAGACCCUGUGGAGCUUUUAAAUCUACCGCAUUAACUAGAACAUAACUAACCUAGUAUAAUGCAAAUUUUAAGUUGGGGCGACUAUGGAGUAAAAAUUAACCUCCAUGUAAUACGACUAAACCUCGUCAUGCUAGACCAACACGCCUAGCCAAAAUACAUGACCCAGUCAAACUGACCAUCGAACCAAGUUACCCCAGGGAUAACAGCGCCAUCCCCUUAAAGAGUCCACAUCGCCAAGGGGGUUUACGACCUCGAUGUUGGAUCAGGACACCCAAGUGGUGCAGCAGCUACUAAAGGUUCGUUUGUUCAACGAGUAACGUCCUACGUGAUCU